GCCGUGACGUGGUGCCGCUGAGCUUGGACCCCGACCAGAAGAUAGAGAUUGAAACGAUGAGGAAAACGAAGUGCCUAAUCCCCGCUGGACGCUAACUGCAGGGCAAGCUCCCCAGUGUUGUAGUUGUGUUUCGGAGGCCGAGAACCGCUAUCGGGCUUCCUCGGACUCUGGCCCUGGAGGGGGGAAACGGCGAGGGAGAAGGCGAAACGAGUCUCCAGUGUGUUCUUGGGGCCUGGUGCGAGGCCCAGAGAAUUCUCUGCAGGCCUUUGCCCGGGCACUGAUUAAGGCUGCGAAGAGACGCACCGGGCUGCGGGCUUAGUAGCUUCAGGCUUCUGAAGUCAGAGGGAGGGCUGAGAGCUUACACUUCUGGAGCUCCCCGGGAGACGGCAACUACCCAACCGUGUGGGUGUGUUUGUCACCCAGAAAUACUCUCCACACCAUGCUGCACUGCUGCGGAUGAGGGAAGGAUGGUGUCGGGGCUUCAAGACUGUUUUUCCUACCUCUUCAGUGCCUCUUUCAGUGAUAUGAAGUUAAAACCAG
Molecule: long non-coding RNA, 540 nt
Filed under: Homo sapiens (human)
Lineage: Eukaryota; Metazoa; Chordata; Mammalia; Primates; Hominidae
Description: non-protein coding lnc-MRPS22-1:11
Source: RNAcentral